Molecule: ribosomal RNA, 327 nt
Filed under: uncultured eukaryote
Lineage: Eukaryota
Description: partial 18S ribosomal RNA
Rfam family: Eukaryotic small subunit ribosomal RNA
Source: RNAcentral
CCCUUAGAUGUUCUGGGCCGCACGCGCGCUACACUGACGAAUGCAACGAGCUUAUAACCUUGGCCGAAAGGUCUGGGUAAUCUCCAAAUUUCGUCGUGAUGGGGAUAGAUUAUUGCAAUUAUUAAUCUUCAACGAGGAAUGCCGAGUAAGCGCAAGUCAUCAGCUUGCGUUGAUUACGUCCCUGCCCUUUGUACACACCGCCCGUCACUCCUACCGAUUGAAUGGUCCGGUGAAGCGUUCGGACCGUGGCCUUUGGACGGUUCGCCGUCUGUUGGCUGCGGGAAGUUCGUUAAACCUUAUCAUUUAGAGGAAGGAGAAGUCGUAACA